ACUCCUACGGGAGGCAGCAGUAGGGAAUCUUCCACAAUGGGCGCAAGCCUGAUGGAGCAACACCGCGUGAGUGAAGAAGGGUUUCGGCUCGUAAAGCUCUGUUGUUAAAGAAGAACACGUAUGAGAGUAACUGUUCAUACGUUGACGGUAUUUAACCAGAAAGUCACGGCUAACUACGUGCCAGCAGCCGCGGGGAAUACGUAGGUGGCAAGCGUUAUCCGGAUUUAUUGGGCGUAAAGAGAGUGCAGGCGGUUUUCUAAGUCUGAUGUGAAAGCCUUCGGCUUAACCGGAGAAGUGCAUCGGAAACUGGAUAACUUGAGUGCAGAAGAGGGUAGUGGAACUCCAUGUGUAGCGGUGGAAUGCGUAGAUAUAUGGAAGAACACCAGUGGCGAAGGCGGCUACCUGGUCUGCAACUGACGCUGAGACUCGAAAGCAUGGGUAGCGAACAGGAUUAGAUACCCUGGUAGGAUAG
Molecule: ribosomal RNA, 472 nt
Filed under: uncultured bacterium
Lineage: Bacteria
Description: bacterial SSU rRNA
Rfam family: Bacterial small subunit ribosomal RNA
Source: RNAcentral